Molecule: ribosomal RNA, 563 nt
Filed under: uncultured bacterium
Lineage: Bacteria
Description: partial 16S ribosomal RNA
Rfam family: Bacterial small subunit ribosomal RNA
Source: RNAcentral
UGGGGAAUUUUGGACAAUGGGCGAAAGCCUGAUCCAGCAAUGCCGCGUGUGUGAAGAAGGCCUUCGGGUUGUAAAGCACUUUUGUCCGGAAAGAAAUCCUUGGCUCUAAUACAGUCGGGGGAUGACGGUACCGGAAGAAUAAGCACCGGCUAACUACGUGCCAGCAGCCGCGGUAAUACGUAGGGUGCAAGCGUUAAUCGGAAUUACUGGGCGUAAAGCGUGCGCAGGCGGUUUGCUAAGACCGAUGUGAAAUCCCCGGGCGUCAACCUGGGAACUGCAUUGGUGACUGGCAGGCUAGAGUAUGGCAGAGGGGGGUAGAAUUCCACGUGUAGCAGUGAAAUGCGUAGAGAUGUGGAGGAAUACCGAUGGCGAAGGCAGCCCCCUGGCAAGUACUGACGCUCAUGCACGAAAGCGUGGGGGAGCAAACAGGAUUAGAUACCCCUGGUAGUCCACGCCCCUAAANGAUGUCAACUAGUUGUUGGGGGAUUCAUUUUCCUUAGUAACGUAGCUAACGCGUGAAGUUGACCGCCUGGGGAGUACGGUCGCAAGAUUAAAACUUAAAU